Molecule: ribosomal RNA, 532 nt
Filed under: uncultured bacterium
Lineage: Bacteria
Description: bacterial SSU rRNA
Rfam family: Bacterial small subunit ribosomal RNA
Source: RNAcentral
AGAGGUUUGAUCAUGGCUCAGAUUGAACGCUGGCGGCAGGCCUAACACAUGCAAGUCGAGCGGCAGCGGGAAAGUAGCUUGCUACUUUUGCCGGCGAGCGGCGGACGGGUGAGUAAUGCCUGGGAAAUUGCCCAGUCGAGGGGGAUAACAGUUGGAAACGACUGCUAAUACCGCAUAAUGUCCACGGACCAAAGCGGGGGACCUUCGGGCCUCGCACCAUCAGAUGAACCCAUAUGGGAUUAGCUUGUAGGUGAGGUAACGGCUCACCUAGGCGACGAUCCCUAGCUGGUCUGAGAGGAUGAUCAGCCACACUGGAACUGAGACACGGUCCAGACUCCUACGGGAGGCAGCAGUGGGGAAUAUUGCACAAUGGGGGAAACCCUGAUGCAGCCAUGCCGCGUGUGUGAAGAAGGCCUUCGGGUUGUAAAGCACUUUCAGCGAGGAGGAAAGGUUGAUGCCUAAUACGUAUCAACUGUGACGUUACUCGCAGAAGAAGCACCGGCUAACUCCGUGCCAGCAGCCGCGGUAAUAC